UGGCGAACGGGUGAGUAACACGUGGGUGAUCUGCCCUGCACUUUGGGAUAAGCCUGGGAAACUGGGUCUAAUACCAGAUAGGACCAUGCUUUGGAUGGUGUGGUGGAAAGUUUUUUCGGUGUGGGAUGAGCUUGCGGCCUAUCAGCUUGUUGAUGGGGUAAUGGCCUACCAAGGCGUCGACGGGUAGCCGGCCUGAGAGGGUGUACGGCCACAUUGGGACUGAGAUACGGCCCAG
RNAcentral lists this ribosomal RNA (235 nucleotides) under uncultured Actinomycetales bacterium. RNAcentral's name for it is "partial 16S ribosomal RNA". It matches the Rfam family "Bacterial small subunit ribosomal RNA", at positions 96 to 334 of the family's 1533-position model. The record is from RNAcentral. Lineage: Bacteria; Bacillati; Actinomycetota; Actinomycetes; Actinomycetales.